Non-coding RNA from Camellia sinensis, 1180 nucleotides. The record is from RefSeq and is a predicted model, not a curated record. NCBI's taxonomy places the organism in Eukaryota, Viridiplantae, Streptophyta, Magnoliopsida, Ericales, Theaceae.
GAGAGUGUGACCCAAAUGACGCGCCAAGUGCGCUCAUUAGCUGGUGCGCAUCGUGACACACUCGGCGCAGAUUAGUUUUGUCCACACAUUAUGACUCUAUAUAUAUCUCAAUCCAUCACUGGCAGUGGUAGUUAUACUUAGCUUGAAGUCAGCGGAUUACCAACGAAAAGCUGGUGCUCAUUUACGAUCAGAUAAGUCUCGGGUUUAAUGGACCAAGUGGUUGCUGAAAAUGGAGUUCAACAGGUUGAAUUACUUUUUGCUGUUAAUGAUGAUCAUGGAGGUGUAAUAGUGGAAAUGAAGGAACCUAUGGAUUCCAAGGCCUUUCUUUCUCUGCUCAGGGCUUCAAUAUCACAGUGGAAGCAACAGGGCAAGAAUGGUGUUUGGAUUAAAUUGCCCAUUGGACUUGUAAAUCUCGUUGAAACUGCAGUUAAGGUAACUGGUCAGGGGUUAGUACUGGUCUAGAAUAUAGUCUUUACUCCAUUAACCUGUAGGCCUCGACAACUCACUUAAAAUUGAGGGUAAAUUACUCAUUACUUGUCUGAAAUCUAGUCUAGCGACCCAAAUAAUCCAUCACCCUCUAAACCUUAAUCAGCUUGAGAUUAAGUUCAUCAUAUCAGAUAUGCGAUUUAAUGAGAUGUAUGUUUUUGUCAGAAUGCAAUUUGAUACAUGUUUUAUGUUUGUAUCCAAAGCAGAUACUGUUAGCUGUUGUGUUGAUCUGUGUAAACUUUUACUCAACCUAUACCCAACUGAGAGAGAGAUUUAUAAUUUGGCUUUGGGCCGUAGUAGAAGCCGGGCAGAGAGAGGUCUGAGCGUGUUUGGGUCAGACUAACGUGGGCUUUUCCAGGGUUGGUUUGAUCAGUCGAGGCUCAGGCCCCAUGUUUGGGCUGAACUAACUUGGGCCUAUCCAGAUUUGGUUUUCUCGGUCGAGUCCCAGGUCCCAAGUUUGGGCUGAGCUAACUUGGCUGAGGUGAUUGUCGACCAACCCGGGUUUCGUUGUUCGCACAUUUAGCUUGGCGGGAAAGGUCUUCUGAAUACCGGCUUAAUCUGUUUGGAGCUCAGUCGUACCGGAAUGUUACUGAGCUCGGUUGUGAUGGAGCUCGGCGAGUGGCGCCGUCGGACUCGUUACAUAGCACGGUCGUAGGAGGCCGAGGUGAUGCCGUCGGGCUGCCCCAUUUCCGCU